RNAcentral lists this transfer RNA (98 nucleotides) under Nephromyces sp. ex Molgula occidentalis. RNAcentral describes it as "tRNA-Ser". It matches the Rfam family "tRNA". From Rfam's summary of the family: Transfer RNA (tRNA) molecules are approximately 80 nucleotides in length. Their secondary structure includes four short double-helical elements and three loops (D, anti-codon, and T loops). Further hydrogen bonds mediate the characteristic L-shaped molecular structure. tRNAs have two regions of fundamental functional importance: the anti-codon, which is responsible for specific mRNA codon recognition, and the 3' end, to which the tRNAs corresponding amino acid is attached (by aminoacyl-tRNA synthetases). tRNAs cope with the degeneracy of the genetic code in two manners: having more than one tRNA (with a specific anti-codon) for a particular amino acid; and 'wobble' base-pairing, i.e. permitting non-standard base-pairing at the 3rd anti-codon position. The record is from RNAcentral. Lineage: Eukaryota; Apicomplexa; Aconoidasida; Nephromycida.
AGAAAGAUGGCUGAGUGGUUUAUAGCGACAAAUUGCUAAUUUGUUUUAUAAUAAUAAAAAAUAUUAUUGUAACAAGGGUUCAAAUCCCUUUCUUUCUA